UUUGACCUCAAAUCAGGUAGGACUACCCGCUGAACUUAAGCAUAUCAAUAAGCGGAGGAAAAGAAACUAACAAGGAUUCCCCUAGUAACUGCGAGUGAAGCGGGAAAAGCUCAAAUUUGAAAUCUGGCAGUCUUUUUUUUCUUCUUUGGCUGUCCGAGUUGUAAUCUAGAGAAGUGCUUACCUGCACUG
This 189-nucleotide ribosomal RNA is filed under the name Amanita sp. 'N66'. RNAcentral's name for it is "partial 28S ribosomal RNA". It matches the Rfam family "Eukaryotic large subunit ribosomal RNA", at positions 1 to 173 of the family's 3401-position model. The record is from RNAcentral. Lineage: Eukaryota; Fungi; Basidiomycota; Agaricomycetes; Agaricales; Amanitaceae.